RNAcentral lists this unclassified non-coding RNA (306 nucleotides) under Hevea brasiliensis (rubber tree). The record is from RNAcentral. Lineage: Eukaryota; Viridiplantae; Streptophyta; Magnoliopsida; Malpighiales; Euphorbiaceae.
GAAGUACAGAAGGAUAGGAAUCCUUGAAAGAAGAUAAUUUAAACAUUCUGUUCAGGAAAUUUAACCAGGAUGUACUUCACAGAUGCAAUCUAACAGUACAAAAAUUUCAAGAUAGAAAGGGGUCUCAAUUCUGAAACCUAUUCCAUUGAUUUCUUUAAAAUAUUAUUCCCAGAAUAAAUGGUUCACUUCCCAAUUACAUAGUGAUUUCUAAUGCCCUAACUCCUGAGUGUCUUGCAUGGCGAAGGAUGACAAAUAAAAUUGCCGAUGUCAAAUCAACCAGCAGCAAAAGUGAAAAGGUAUAGGAAA